AAUCCAUAGGUUAAUGAGGCGAACCGGGGGAACUGAAACAUCUAAGUACCCCGAGGAAAAGAAAUCAACCGAGAUUCCCCCAGUAGCGGCGAGCGAACGGGGAGGAGCCCAGAGCCUGAAUCAGCAUGUGUGUUAGUGGAAGCGUCUGGAAAGGCGCGCGAUACAGGGUGACAGCCCCGUACACAAAAGCGCAUGUGCUGUGAGCUCGAUGAGU
RNAcentral lists this ribosomal RNA (214 nucleotides) under Salmonella enterica subsp. enterica serovar Athinai. RNAcentral's name for it is "partial 23S ribosomal RNA". It matches the Rfam family "Bacterial large subunit ribosomal RNA", at positions 161 to 413 of the family's 2925-position model. The record is from RNAcentral. Lineage: Bacteria; Pseudomonadati; Pseudomonadota; Gammaproteobacteria; Enterobacterales; Enterobacteriaceae.